GAUGAACGCUGGCGGCGUGCCUAAUACAUGCAAGUCGAGCGAACGGACGAGAAGCUUGCUUCUCUGAUGUUAGCGGCGGACGGGUGAGUAACACGUGGAUAACCUACCUAUAAGACUGGGAUAACUUCGGGAAACCGUAGCUAAUACCCGAUAAUAUUUUGAACCGCAUGGUUCAACAGUGAAAGACGGUCUUGCUGUCCCUUAUAGAUGGAUCCGCGCUGCAUUAGCUAGUUGGUAAGGUAACGGCUUACCAAGGCAACGAUGCAUAGCCGACCUGAGAGGGUGAUCGGCCACACUGGAACUGAGACACGGUCCAGACUCCUACGGGAGGCAGCAGUAGGGAAUCUUCCGCAAUGGGCGAAAGCCUGACGGAGCAACGCCGCGUGAGUGAUGAAGGUCUUCGGAUCGUAAAACUCUGUUAGUAGGGAAGAACAUAUGUGUAAGUAACUGUGCACAUCUUGACGGUACCUAAUCAGAAAGCCACGGCUAACUACGUG
This 497-nucleotide ribosomal RNA is filed under the name uncultured bacterium. RNAcentral describes it as "partial 16S ribosomal RNA". It matches the Rfam family "Bacterial small subunit ribosomal RNA", at positions 28 to 507 of the family's 1533-position model. The record is from RNAcentral.